RNAcentral lists this transfer RNA (73 nucleotides) under Mustela putorius furo (domestic ferret). It matches the Rfam family "tRNA". From Rfam's summary of the family: Transfer RNA (tRNA) molecules are approximately 80 nucleotides in length. Their secondary structure includes four short double-helical elements and three loops (D, anti-codon, and T loops). Lineage: Eukaryota; Metazoa; Chordata; Mammalia; Carnivora; Mustelidae. The record is from Rfam by way of RNAcentral.
ACCUGGUUGGCUCAGUCAGUAGAGCAUGUGACUCUUGACCUCAAGGUUGUGAGUCUGAGCCCCAUACUGGGUA